CUCACUCAGGUCGAGUCUGGAGAUAAUGUCACCUUGGUCUGCAGUGCCGCCAACACUACCAUCAACCUGUCAAUUACAACAUGGUUUCGAGAUGAAGCUCGAGUUUUGAAUAUAUUGACUACAAACAAUGACUGCUUUAUUCACCCACCCAACUCUACAGACAAUACUGCUGCGUAUCGUUAUGACCUGUACACAUCAAAGGGUGUCAGUGUAAGCUGUACUACCUUCCAGCACAACCUGACACUAACUACAACUGAAUACGUUGAAGUUGGGACCGUGUGGAGAUGUAAAGAUCAAAACUUCAGAAGUAGUAACAACCUUACGCCAGGAACAAUCUACGAGUCCGCUUCACCCCUGACUGAUCCAGUAACAUCAGUCACAAGCGUCCACAGUACUCAUGGUAGUCGCGUGCAAGUUAAACUAAUGUCUAUCUCCUAUUUAAGCAUUACACAUUUUAUUGAUGCUAGUUACAUAUGUACACCCAUGUCGACGUUAGCCAUUUAGCAGUAAGUAUCUGACAGUGCUAUAUGUAGCAUUCAUCUGACAUAUCUUACCCACGCGAUGUAGUUUUUAUGUCUGCAAGAUGUCUGAAACGUACUGUGAAGUACAGUUGUUGAAGUAUUCAAAAUGCAAAUGUAUGUUUCGUCAUCAGAUAUGAAUACAGACUUCUCAGGUUCUGCCUCUGAGUCGACUUCAUCACUGACUGAUUCACCAACAACGUUGGGAAUAUCUACAUCAAGAAAGACGACUCCAGACACACACAGCAAUAACCAAGAUGACAUCAUAUACAUCUCGGCUGGUGCAGGAGGUGGCGCCGUCAUCCUCACUAUCGUCGUUACGUGUGUCUGUUGUGUUAGGAGGAGAAGAAGGAGGAAAGCCAAACAAAGU
Molecule: long non-coding RNA, 888 nt
Organism: Haliotis rubra (blacklip abalone)
Lineage: Eukaryota; Metazoa; Mollusca; Gastropoda; Lepetellida; Haliotidae
Exons: 3
Source: RefSeq, a predicted model, not a curated record